This 1035-nucleotide ribosomal RNA is filed under the name Triticum aestivum (bread wheat). RNAcentral's name for it is "partial small subunit ribosomal RNA". Lineage: Eukaryota; Viridiplantae; Streptophyta; Magnoliopsida; Poales; Poaceae. The record is from RNAcentral.
AUGGAAGAGCUUGUUCUCGAGAUAUUUUUUCGGCUGCCAGUGAAGUCCCUCCUGCGGUUCAAGUCUCUCAGCAAGGCCUGGUGCGCAACCAUCUCCGACCCCAUGUUCAUCCGGAGUCACCUUGAGCACCAGAAACCAUCGUGGCUCAUCACUCCCCACGCCUUGGACAGUACUAUCGAAGCUGAGGAGUGGCCAACCACCUUCUCAACCCAAACCCGCUUCUACCGGUGGCAGCUAGGGCUAGGUGUCUCCGAUACAAGGCUGAUGCAUGCAACUGACUUUCCCGGCGAGUUCAGCUCAAUCGCUCUCAUUGCCCACUGCGACGGUCUGGUGCUCUUCCCUACCAACACCAAGCUCUACCUCUUCAAUCCGGCCACCAGGGAGACAAUGACGUUGCCUGCAAGUAACCGUACCAAAACACAGUACAAACAUAUGUUCCUCCCGACGGGGUUUGGUUUGGACCAUCGCACUGGCAAGUACAAGGUAGUCCGGGCAUUCGUCCGCUCCAAAGAUCCUCUCACAGAAGUUUACCGCAUGGGGAUGGAAGUGUUCACUGUUGGUGAUGGUGAGGCAUGUACUUCUUGGAGGGAAACCACGACUGAUUUGCCUUACUCUGUGGUCGAGUGGAUAACCGGGAAAUUCGUAAACGGUGGAUUGUUUUGGGUCAUCGACAGGUUCCAUCUUGAGCAUGAUCGAAAUGGCUGCGUCCGCUUCAGCCUGGAAGAUGAGACGUUCCGCGUCAUUCGUCUACCGGAUCCCUUGCCAUUGGAUCGUGCACUCCAUGAAUCCUUUCUGUUGGACGUGAUUCAGCAGGGCAAGCUGUGCCUGACAGGUUUUACCAAGAGUGGGGGGGGAGUGGGGGUUUGGAUAUUGGUUGAAGAUGAUACUAACGUGAACUCGAGAUGGGAGCAUCGUUACUCUCUGUGUAUAUCAGAUCUGGUUCAGCCAAUGUCAUUUCUUCCAGGGGCGCAAUCAUGCUACAUUGUGGUCCCAAUUUCUACCAUUACGAGCUGCAGACGGCUUCUAACCCGUUGA